CUGGCGGCAGGCUUAACACAUGCAAGUCGAGCGCACAGUUUACUGUGAGCGGCAGACGGGUGAGUAACGCGUGGGAAUCUACCCAUUUCUACGGGAUAACACAGAGAAAUUUGUGCUAAUACCGUAUACGUCCUUUAGUGGAGAAAGAUUUAUCGGAGAUGGAUGAGCCCGCGUUGGAUUAGCUAGUUGGUAGGGUAAAGGCUUACCAAGGCGACGAUCCAUAGCUGGUCUGAGAGGAUGAUCAGCCACACUGGGACUGAGACACGGCCCAGACUCCUACGGGAGGCAGCAGUGGGGAAUAUUGGACAAUGGGGGCAACCCUGAUCCAGCCAUGCCGCGUGAGUGAAGAAGGCCUUAGGGUUGUAAAGCUCUUUCACCGGUGAAGAUAAUGACGGUAACCGGAGAAGAAGCCCCGGCUAACUUCGUGCCAGCAGCCGCGGUAAUACGAAGGGGGCUAGCGUUGUUCGGAUUUACUGGGCGUAAAGGGCGCGUAGGCGGAUAAUUAAGUCAGAGGUGAAAUCCCAGGGCUCAACCUUGGAACUGCCUUUGAUACUGGUUAUCUUGAGUAUGGGAGAGGUGAGUGGAAUUCCGAGUGUAGAGGUGAAAUUCGUAGAUAUUCGGAGGAACACCAGUGGCGAAGGCGGCUCACUGGUCCAUUACUGACGCUGAGGCGCGAAAGCGUGGGGAGCAAACAGGAUUAGAUAC
Molecule: ribosomal RNA, 705 nt
Filed under: Bartonella sp. AD273
Lineage: Bacteria; Pseudomonadati; Pseudomonadota; Alphaproteobacteria; Hyphomicrobiales; Bartonellaceae
Description: bacterial SSU rRNA
Rfam family: Bacterial small subunit ribosomal RNA
Source: RNAcentral